This 459-nucleotide ribosomal RNA is filed under the name uncultured bacterium. RNAcentral's name for it is "partial 16S ribosomal RNA". It matches the Rfam family "Bacterial small subunit ribosomal RNA", at positions 28 to 507 of the family's 1533-position model. The record is from RNAcentral.
GAUGAACGCUGGCGGCGCGCCUAACACAUGCAAGUCGAACGGCACCCCUCCUCGGAGGGAAGCGAGUGGCGAACGGCUGAGUAACACGUGGAGAACCUGCCCCCUCCCCCGGGAUAGCCGCCCGAAAGGACGGGUAAUACCGGAUACCCCGGGGUGCCGCAUGGCACCCCGGCUAAAGCCCCGACGGGAGGGGAUGGCUCCGCGGCCCAUCAGGUAGACGGCGGGGUGACGGCCCACCGUGCCGACAACGGGUAGCCGGGUUGAGAGACCGACCGGCCAGAUGGGGACUGAGACACGGCCCAGACUCCUACGGGAGGCAGCAGUGGGGAAUCUUGCGCAAUGGGGGGAACCCUGACGCAGCGACGCCGCGUGCGGGACGGAGGCCUUCGGGUCGUAAACCGCUUUCAGCAGGGAAGAGUCAAGACUGUACCUGCAGAAGAAGCCCCGGCUAACUACGUG